CUUACCAGGUCAAGACAUGGGCGUGAUUGACAGGCUAAUGACUUUUCUCGAUUCCAUGGAUGGUGGUGCAUGGUCGCACUUAGUUGGUGCAGUGAUUUGUCAGGUUUAUUCCGGUAACGAACGAGACCUCGGCCUUGUAAAUAGCUAUGCUGCUUACAGGGACAUUGGCGGCUACGCCAAGGAAGCUCGAGGCAAUUGCAGAUCUGGAAUGCCCUUAGAUGUCCUGGGUCGCACGCGUGCUACAAUGACGCCACGAACGAGCUUGCGUGAUGAAAGUUACGCAUAAUCAGCAGUCGGCGUCUUAAGGGAUAGUCUCUUGUAACUGUGGGACUCCAACUAGGAAUGUCUCGUAAGCACAAGUCAACAUCUUGUGUUGAUUACGUCCCUGCUCUUUGUACACACCGCCCGUCGCUCCUACCGAUCGAGUGUUUAGGUGAAUUUGAUGGACGUAAGGAAGUCAAAUAAACCUGAGCACUAGAGAAGAGAAGUCGAAAAAUGUC
This 500-nucleotide ribosomal RNA is filed under the name uncultured Myrionecta. Its description in RNAcentral is "bacterial SSU rRNA". It matches the Rfam family "Eukaryotic small subunit ribosomal RNA", at positions 1214 to 1801 of the family's 1831-position model. The record is from RNAcentral. Lineage: Eukaryota; Ciliophora; Litostomatea; Cyclotrichida; Mesodiniidae.